Molecule: transfer RNA, 541 nt
Filed under: uncultured cyanobacterium
Lineage: Bacteria; Bacillati; Cyanobacteriota
Description: partial miscellaneous RNA
Rfam family: tRNA (bases 212-284)
Source: RNAcentral
CAGGGAGACAACAAAAUGUUUAAUAUUAUUAUUUUGUCACCUUAGGUCGAUCGGUAUCUCACGUUCUUAAUUUAUUAAGAAUUUCAUUUCCUAAGUUUUUCUAGGUCACACCCAUUAUUUUUCCUGGGCCAUUAGCUCAGGUGGUUAGAGCGCACCCCUGAUAAGGGUGAGGUCCCUGGUUCAAGUCCAGGAUGGCCCAUAUCUCUAUGUUGGGGGUAUAGCUCAGUUGGUAGAGCGCCUGCUUUGCAAGCAGGAUGUCAGCGGUUCGAGUCCGCUUACCUCCACUGAUUACCACCUCUUCCAUAAUCUGUAGAAAGGAAAUUUCUUGAGUUGUGAUCAUAAUUCUGAACGAAUCUAGCUUCCUAAUGAAAUCAUUAAGAUGCUGGACUCAUUGAAUUAAAUUCAUUGUUUUCAGGGAACCUUGACAACUGCAUAGAUUAUUUUUAAAGACAAUAAGCAUUUUUAAUAAUGCAGAUUUAUUAUUUGUGCAAAUGCAUUAAUAACAAUUCUAUUAAGCUGAUGCUUCAAUUUUGAAGUUAUU